Molecule: transfer RNA, 64 nt
Filed under: Dexia tenuiforceps
Lineage: Eukaryota; Metazoa; Arthropoda; Insecta; Diptera; Tachinidae
Description: tRNA-Glu
Source: RNAcentral
AUUUAUAUAGUUUAACAAACAUUACAUUUUCAUUGUAAAAUUAAUAUAUUUUUAUUUAUAAAUU